Molecule: long non-coding RNA, 8552 nt
Organism: Leopardus geoffroyi (Geoffroy's cat)
Lineage: Eukaryota; Metazoa; Chordata; Mammalia; Carnivora; Felidae
Exons: 3
Source: RefSeq, a predicted model, not a curated record
UACACUUUAAGCAUGCACUGUUGAUUGUAUGUCAGUUACAGCUCAAUGAAACUGAAAAGAAAGGCCACAGGGAGAUACCACUACCUGCUCAUAAGAUGGCUCAAAUUUUUUAAAAGGCUGGAAAGCCACUUGUAACUUUCAUACCUUGCUGAUGGGAUGGUUCACCCAUUUCUCUGUGGUCCAGCAGAGAAGCAAAGGUGGUUGUCCACACAUGGGGCUGCUCUGAGCAUUUAUAGCUGAUUCGUUCUUGAGAGCCCCAGACUGGAAAAAACUCCAGUGACCAUCAACAGGUAAAUGGAUAAACAAAGGCUCUUCAUCAGUUGUAGUCUUGAGUACAUACACUUGAGCUUCUUUUCCUCUUCAAGUGGUAGAUACUUGAGUAAAGAGUUGCUACCUAGUCUUCAGAAUUGAUCAUGGAAAGCUGUACUAACAUAUUCUUGACCAUCCAGGUAAACAGAUCAUCUUCUGCUUAUUGGCCUGUAGUUUAUGAAGAGGAGGAAUGAGUUCAGUACAGUCUAGGGGUUCCCAAAAGUGGUGAGUUUAAAAUUUGAGUGUGACUUUUUCCAUCUGGUUUUGUGAACACUCAGUUCAGCGGUGAUAUAAGCACACCUUGAGAAAAUUGGAGAUAAGACACUGGUAACCUUGCAGGAGCUUUGGCAAGUGUUCGUUCAGCACUUUUCCCUUAUUGGAUUUCCCAAGUUUGUUUCUAGAUGGUUAGGACUCCAUGGGCGAUUAGGGGAGAGGAAGGGCUUACGUGUCACUGGUGAAUAAGCAAAAUGACUUCUUACUCUGUUCACCCUAAUUUCUUAACCCAGAUUGAAUACGAUUGGGGGUAAAGUUAACACUUGAACAAUACCAGUGUUAACUGAAAAACAAAGUUCUUUCUCAAUCCUGCUCCCACAACCAAAAAAAGGAGACGUUUUUCUAAUAGCUUUAUUAAGGUAUGAUCACAUACCAUAGAGUCUUUUAUGUAAAUGUGCAAUUCAGUGUUUUUCUAGUAAAUUUGCAGAGUUGUUCGACCAUCACACAAUUCAUGGUCUUUGAUUCUUCUUCAUGCCUCUUUUUCUUCCCCUUCCUGCUCCUUCCCCUUCCUGCCCCUCCCCUUUUUGCUCCUGUUAAUCUUUGUAGUUUCUCAUCAGCAUCUCUAAUGUAGGGAAAUGGAGUGACCCCAUGCUCAGCCACUCCCAGUCACAUUUUGGGGGAGAUUCACCACCCUGUAUGCUGGGCCCUCCACGUGGGUGCAGAGUCAGGAAUGGAGGCCUGGCCACGCUGCUUUCAGGGUGAGCCUGGGAGCCCUCGUAUAUCUGUUCAUGUUUACUUUUGUCCCCACUGUACAUGUUGUCAGGCCAGUCUCUUCAGCCUGGUCCUUGUCUCCUGCCCCUCUCGGUAGUCCUGCUUCCUUGCCUUGCUGUGCUCUCUGAGGAUUGGGGGUCAAAGUGAAUCCUUUGCCAUCUGUAGCUGUUGUGUUAGAAAUGACAGGUGCUGCUCAGACUGCGGUUGACCUUUGGGAUCAUGAGGGCCCAGAAGAGGGAGUGGUCUGCCCUGCAGAGGGAAAGCUUUUGUGAGCAGUGUUCCUUGAGUUCAGGAAGGCAUGCUGCUGGGCAAAGAGGUGGGCAUGGAGCGCUACACUUGGCUUGGUGUGGAGGAGAGUGGGUGCGGGCAAGGGUUGAUAUGCCAUGCCAGGGGCUCGGGCUGGAUCCUAUAGCGUCAUGGAGCUGCUGAGGGGAUACUGUGACCUCGCUUGAGAGGAAGGGCCCUUAGAUGGCGGGUAGACCUGGCAGAGUGUGGACAAAGCCAGAAGGGGAGCUCCGGCAGAGUGCCUUGUGGUCAGAUACGUGCCUGUGCACGCUGGCGCAUGUGUAUAAAUGUGAGUGUGUGAACUACAGUACCAGGCAGCCAGAGUGGCCACUCCUGCUGGGACAUGUUGACUGCACUGGAUACCCUGUUGCCCCUGAGUCCUCAUAAGGAAUUAUGGCUAGAGCAGACACAAGUUCUGUCUGUGGUUUUUGUCAGGGCCCGUGAUCCCCCAAGGCUGAGGCAGGGCUCCUCUCUGCUGGGAGGUAUGGGUGGAGUUGGUGCUGGUCAGCAGACCCUUUGGAGACACUGCCCUGAGAGGGAGGGUAAGAGGCUCUGCAGAAAGGGAGAGGCCCCACCAAAGCAGCAUGCACAGAGGCUGGAGGGAGCAGAUUCUGGGCAGUGGCUCUCAACUGAGGGGCAUUUGUGGUUGUUGCCCUGGCAGGGUGGUCUUGCAGUGUUGCCGGGAUAGUCCUGCCCGCAGAGAAGGGUCAUGACUCCCAGUUCUGCUUGUUGGGACCCGGAACAGAGUGUGGCCUGGAAGGUGUGGAAGGGCAGCGAGUCUGGCUGAGUCUUCAGGGCUUCAUUUUCCAGGUCUCGGGGCCCUGCUUUCAGGGGGUCUUUGAACUCUUCUUGGCAGAGGAGCUUUCCUUGAGAGCAGCAUCCUGCUUCCUCUAGUAAACAUGGGGAUGCUGGGUCCUGGGAUCCCAUGGCUGGGAAAGGAUCGUUGUGCCUGUUUGUAUGUGUUAGUCUGGUAGCAGCUUGUGAGCUGGAUUACUGAGCCAAGCCGGCUUCUUUGGAUCUCUGCAGACUGUUGCCUGGAUGGCUUCUAGACCUAGGCUGCUUGCUGAGCUCUGCGGGUAGCCCUUUGUCACAACUGAGGAUGGCACUUUCGUGUCUGCUUUGCUCCUUGCAGAGCUCAGCUGCCAGGGAUGCCAGUGACUUUGGGGAGGUGGCUCUCCUCAUCUUGGAGUAGAAGGCAUUUGGUCAGAACUGUGCUUGCCUUCCGUCACUCUUUUUGAGUGCAUGGCUCCUCGGACUCCAUGGAGGCCACCUUGUCCAUCUAUAUUGUGUAAAAACGUUGGUUAUGGAUUCUCUGCAAGUAAAGAAAACAAACCCGGCAUAUCCAUCUCCUCAGUUCAGCAGUUUUGUCCUCUGGCCCUUUAUUCUCAUCGCAGAAGAGCUUUAAAACAAAUCCAACAUGUUAUUUCAUCCUUCCUUCUGAGGUUGAGCCAUAUGAGUUAGCAAUACACAAUCAUUUUGACCUAUAUUUACUAUGCGUUUCUAGAAACAAAAAAGCAUCUUUCCAUCAUAGGCAAUACUGCUGUUGUCAGAUGAACAGCACUGACAGUCGUUUUUUGGGAUCAUCUAAUGCACAGGGCUUCCCUUUCUCCACAGAUUCUUCACUCAUGAGAAAAUGUCUUGACUUGGUCUGGCCCCCAGUAAGGUCCACCAUUUAUGUGAUGGUUAUGAAUCUUGGCUUGCUCUCCAGGGCAGCCUCUCCCUCUUCUUUUCAUGCCACUGAGCUGGGGUCCAGUCUGUGUCAUUGUCCUGUGAGGUGUCCUGGCUUCUGGACUGAACCCAUCAUCACACCCUGGCUUCUCCCCGCAGGCGUGGAGUGGGGUCCUUUGAGAGUAAUGAUCCCAGGGCUGGACAUGUAGAGGCAGCCCAGGUUGAGGUGGGGAUGCCUCGGACACAUCAAGGACACUCUGAGCAUUGAAAUGAACCAUAGGCCUGGACUCAGCAUGCUGACCAGAACAAGGGUUCACUGUAAAGAGGGAGGCCGGUGAGGAUCCUUUUUAUCCAGAAUCUGGGGACCACUCUCUUGAGUGGGACCGUGUGAAGGCAUUUUCGUAGGUCAGAAAUGGUUGAAUGUCAGCAGUUACAUGUGGUUAAAACUAAUGGAUUAAAGAAGGCUAAAGAGACAGCAUAAGUAACGAGUGUUAACUAGGCCUUGAAUGUAGAAAACUAGAAAGGACGUUAGGGUGUUGGGGAAUUGCGCUUGUACUUAUUAGAUAGCAGUAUUGUAUCAGUUUUAUCAGCAUAAUUCCCGAGCGUGAGGCUUGUAUAGUGAUUACAUGGAGAAGAUGCUUGUCCUGGGGCUUGCGACUCUGAAAUGGGUCAGGAAAGUAAAAGUGUGUGUGUGCAGAGGGAGAGAGCAAGCAUGGUAAAAAGUGUGAGUGGCUGGUGGAUCCAGGCGAUGGUUAUGUGAGUUGUUUAUUCCCUGUAGUUUUGAAACUUUCUCAAGAGCUGGGGGGAGGCCAGAACUUCUGUUAGCUUUUUCCAGAGGUGAGGCUCAGCCUCUCCUUACCCUGAGGGAAAGGUGAUUGCCCACUCUCUUUUUAUUUAAACCUCAGGAUAAAAAAAUACUUUUAUUGAUGAGAUGAAUUAUUUUACAUUUCAGUGUUUAUGCUUUUCAGUGUGAAGAUGUAUUCAUUUAGCCUACACUAUGAGGGCUUCCUGGGGUGUGGCUCAUUUCUAGGUCCUGGGGUCAUAGUAGGGACCCCUGCUUUGGGGCUCCACAGAUGGAAUGGGGGAGGCCUCCCUGGGAGGCGCCCUGUGGACUGAGACCCAAAGGACCAAGAGCCAGCUGUGCAGAAACCAAGGGACAGUGAGUGCAAAGGCCCCAGAGCACUGGCAGACUCCGAGACUGAGGGACUGAAAGGUCCAUUUCAUGCUGCGUGGUACAAUGCUUAUGAGGUUUGGAGUAAAAAUCUGUGGUCUAAAAGUUCUUACCAGCACAUUUGGGAGUGCUUUUUGAAUUUACAUGCUUUUCCUCUGUGGGACUGAAGCAACCUUUCUUCCUGCUACUCUGAUGUACACAGUGAAUUCUGUAGUUGCUUGUAUGAAACUGUCCCUGGGCAGAAAACAUCUGUAGACCUUUACCCAGAGCAGAGGCGAAGAGGGAACUGUUUCCCCAGUGAUGUGAUGCCUGGGAGUGGGCUCAGGGUUCCUGUGGGUGCAGGGGGGUGCUGUCUCUCUGAGGCUUGCAGGCUGCAGGGGUCCUGACUGGAAGUGAGGGGUUGAUAAUCUUGGAGGACCUCAGUCCUGUUCUGGCCAAGGACCCUUCAUUCCUCCCGUCUUGUCACCUGGCAUGGAUUGUGGACCUUCUCUGUGCUGGGCACUCUCUAGUUAGAGCUUUGUUUUAACUAAUUUAAUUAUAGUUUCUAAGGUCGGAUGUAUUUUGAACUUAAUGUUUAUCUUAAAACUUUCCAGAGAGUAGAGGGAGAAACUAACAACCCCGCUAUAGAAGUCAGUUUGUGUUGUGGCCAGAUCGUAGCUGGGCAGGAGUGGGGCUGAGUGGGAGCUGGGAGUGUGUGCGUGUGUGUGUGUGGGGGGGGGGGGGGGCACGUAUACAUUAUACGUUCCCUAACCAGGAGGCUGGAGGGCUACUGGGCCUUGGAGAAUCUGGACUGUCUUCUCUGGCCCCCCAGCUCUAGUGGAGGUGUGGAGAGUCUACCUGACCUUGUAUCUGUAUCAUAUUGUCUCCCAAGAGUUCUGAGAGUAGACCUACAUUUCUUUCCCCAUUAUUAACCUGAAGGGGUAAGUGUGCAGGGUGGGUCCCCAUGUGGCUGGUCAGGAGGUGUCCUCUGCUGGUUCAGGCCUUCCCCUGGUGAGGGGAGGUGAACUGUGGGAUCUGAGGCCCAGAUGAGGCAGGAAUGGGUAGGAAGAUGGCACCCAGGUGGUAUGCGCUUUUCUGUAUUACUCUGUGGACCAAUUUUGAUGUUUCAGGACAGUAAAGCUUCAGAUAUCACCAAGGGCAUUUCUUUACACGUAAAAGCUUAUGCAAUCUAAUAAGAUAUUUUAGGAGUUCUUCUAGAUAAGGAAUCUGUAAGCAUUUUCUUAAAAGGCUAGAUAGUAAAUGUCCUAAACAUUGUGGGAUAAGAAGUAAAAUUGAGGAUAUUAUUAGGUAUUUAACCCAGCUGUUUAUAAAUACGGGGGAGCGCCUGGAUGGCUCAGUCGGUUAAGCAUCUGACUUCAACUCGGGUCAUGAUCUCAUGGUUCGUGAGUUCAAGCCCCGCUUCAGCCUCUGUGCUGACAGCUAAGAGCCUGGAGCCUACUUCAGAUUCUGUGUCUCCCUGUCUCUCUCUGCCCCACUCGCACUUGGUCUCUGUCUCUCUUUUUCAAAAAAUAAACAUUAAUUUUUUUUUUUUUUUUUUUUUUUUUUUUUAAAUAUGAGUACCAGGGUGCCUGGGUGGCUCAGUCAGUUGAGUAUCCAACUCUUGAUUUUGACUCAGGUCAUUGUCCCAGGGUCAUGGGAUCAGUCUCCAAACCUACUUAAGAUUCUCUUCCCCACCCCCUGCUCAUGCUCUCUCUUUAAAAAAAAAAAAAAAAAAAAAAAAAAAUGUAAAUGCUAUUCUGAGCUUGAGAGGGGGAGCUGCAUGCUGAUUCCUUCCUGGACCACCUUCUUAGCCUUCUGAUGAUCCUGGGUGGUGGUGGUUUGUUUGUUUGUUUGUUUGUUUUUAAGUUUAUUUUGAGAGAGGCAGAGCAUGAGAAGGGGAGGGGCAAAGAAAGAGAGGGAGAGUCCCAAGCAGGCUCCAUGUGGUCAGUGUGCAGAACCCAACCCGGGGCUCAAACCCAUGAAACCAUGAGAUCAUGACCUGAGCUGAAAUCAAGAGUCAGAUGCUUAACCAACUGAGCCACCUAAGCUCCCUAAUUCUGGGUUUUAAGGUGUUUUUCUGCUGAGAUUGGAUUGGAAAGAUAGCACAUUUCUCUUUGGAAAGAUGAAAGCUGAUCAGAGUGAAGUCAUAAAAGGUGUCAAUACGCAUUUAAGCUCAGGAUACCAGAUCUAUGGAAAGAAUUGUUUGUUUUUUAAAGUUCAUUUAUUUUGAGAGGGAGAGCAUGAGCAGGGGAGGGGCAGAGAGAGAGGGAGAGAGAAUUCCAAGCAGGCCCAGCAUGGUCAGCACAGAGCCUGAUACAGGGCUUGAACCCAUGAACUGUGGGAUCAUGACCUGAGCUGAAAUCAAGAGUUGGACGCCUUACUGACUAAGCCAUCCAGGCAUCCCUGGAAAGAAUAGUUUUAGAUCAAGUAAAAAGUUUGCCUUCCAUAAUAUUCUCAGAAACCUUGUUACCUUAAAUAGUUGAGGAACCUGUUUACUGACUUUAAGAGUUUAAAUGGGAUCAUAGAUGUCAAUUUCUUUCUUUCUUUCUUUCUUUCUUUCUUUCUUUCUUUCUUUCUUUCUUUCUUUCUUUCUUUCUUAAUUUUUGAGAGGACAUGAGCAGGGGAGGUGCACAGAGAGGGGGACAGAAGAUCUGAAGAGGGCUCCAUGCUUACAACAGAGAGUCCGAUGCGGGGGCUCAAACUCAGGAACCUUGGGAUCAUAACCUGAACUGCUUUAUCAGUCAAGCCACCCAGACACCCCUGCAGAUGUCAAUUUCUAAUUGCUGCCUUCUGCAGCAUGAGAUGCAUACCUCCUUCUCUGCCAUAAGAUGAAAUCCUGGUGCCGUAACCUGGCCACACACUUUCAGAAAACCAACACGUGUUGGGGCACCUGGGUGGCUCAGUCGGUUAAGCGGCCGACCUCGGCUCAGGUCAUGAUCUCGCGGUCCGUGAGUUCGAGCCCCGCAUCGGGCUCUGUGCUAACGCUCAGAGCCUGGAGCCUGUUUCAGAUUCUGUGUCUCCCUCUCUCUGACCCUCCCCCGUUCAUGCUCCCUCUCUCUCUCUCUGUCUCAAAAAUAAAUAAAUGUUAAAAAAAAAAAAAUCUCUUAAAAAGAAAACCAACACGUGUGUGCCUAACACAGUCAUACUAGGAGACAUUGCGAGCCAGCAGUGCUGGCCCUGGGUGGCAGCCUCACAGUAGCAUUGCCACUGCAUGUGUCAAGAGAAACAUUGCCAAACAGGUGACUUUUUGAAGUGAUAGCCAACGAUCAGAAUUUCAAAGCACCUCAACAAAGAAUGUAACAAUCUAAUUAAAAAUGGGCAAAGGACUUCAAUAGACAUUUCUCCAAAGAAGAUAUAUAAAUGACCAACAAGCACAAGAAGAGAUCCUCCGUUUCAUUAGCUAGCAUAGAAAUGCAAAUCAAAGCCACAAUGAGAUAACCACCUCAUAUUCAUUAAGUUGGUUGUUUAAAAAAACCCAGAAGAAUGAUAAUGAGUAUCAUCGAGGCUGUGGAGAAAUUGGAACCCUUGUGCACUGUUGGUGGGAAUGUAAAAUGGCAUAGUCUCUGUGGAAAAUACUAUGCAGUUCCUCAGAAAAGUUAGAUAUAGAAUUACCAUAAGAUCCAGCAAGUCUGCUUCUUUUGGGGUAUAUCCCCAAAAGAAUUGAAAGCCGGAACUUGAUGAGAUCGUUGUAUACCAUGUUCAUGGCAGCCAGAAGGUGGAAAAAACCCAAGUGCCCACUGAAGAGUAAAUGGGUAAACAAAACGUCUGUCCAUACAGUGGAAUGUUAUUCAGCCUUAAGAAGGGAAAUUCUGACACAUGCUACAACAUGGAUACAUCUUGAGGACAGUAUGCUAUGUGAAAUAAGCCAGUCACAAAAAGACAAACACUAUGAGACCAUUUAUAUGAGAUCUCUAGGGUAGUCAAGUUUUCAGAGAAAGUAGAAACGUGGGUGCCAGGGGCUCAGGGGGGAAUGGAGGGUUGGUAAUGGAUACAGAGUUUCAGUUUCAGAUGAAAAAGUUGUAGAGAUGGAUGUUGGUGAUGAUUGUAGAAUAAUAGGAAUGUAUUUAAUGCCACUGAGCUGUACACUUAAAAAUGGUUACAAGGGGGAGGGGGGGUGUCUGGGUGGCUCAGUUGGUUAAGCAAUCCAGUUCUUGAU